GACGAACGCUGGCGGCGUGCUUAACACAUGCAAGUCGAACGGUGAAGCGCUUGCCUUUUUGGUGGGUGUGGAUGAGUGGCGAACGGGUGAGUAACACGUGAGUAACCUGCCCUCUUCUUCUGGAUAACCUCAUGAAAGUGGGGCUAAUACGGGGUAUUCCGGGUCUGUCGCAUGGCGGGUUUGGGAAAGAUUGCGCCUUUGGGUGUUUUCGGUGGGGGAUGGGCUCGCGGCCUAUCAGCUUGUUGGUGGGGUGAUGGCCUACCAAGGCGGUGACGGGUAGCCGGCCUGAGAGGGUGGACGGCCACACUGGGAGUGAGACACGGCCCAGACUCCUGCGGGAGGCAGCAGGGGGGAAUAUUGCACAAUGGGCGCAAGCCUGAUGCAGCGACGCCGCGUGAGGGAUGGAGGCCGUCGGGUUGUGAACCUCUUUCGCCAGUGAAGCAGGCCUGCUCCUGUGUGGGUGGGUUGACGGUAGCUGGAUAAGAAGCGCCGGCUAACUACGUG
This 504-nucleotide ribosomal RNA is filed under the name uncultured bacterium. RNAcentral describes it as "partial 16S ribosomal RNA". It matches the Rfam family "Bacterial small subunit ribosomal RNA", at positions 28 to 507 of the family's 1533-position model. The record is from RNAcentral.